CCCUGCUUUACAAGACAUAUCAUAAGCUUUUAAUGAUAUCAAAUUUAUAAUCAUAAAUACUGCAAAUUAUAUCAUUGCCUUCCAUCUAUCUCUGUGGAAAACAUUUUAUAUCUACUAAUUCACUAAUCAGAAACAUGUAACUACUGAGGAUAUUUCAUAUUCUCUUGGUGUAUUAAUUUAUCAUUACAAGAAAUUAACAAGCAGAAUUUGUGAUCUUUGCUCCCAAUUAUCACUUAUGACUUUUGGAGAAAAAAACCUAUUUGGUAAAUAAUUAUUCCUGUUUAAUAAAUAAUUUCCACAAAAGUGAUGCUAAAAGUUUAUAUGACUUAUCAUAGUGGAAAAAUAUCCAUUUCACAUCCAGUUAUUGGUUUCCAAUGUAAUAAAACAUAUAUUAAAAGUUCGAGAGGAAGUAAAAUCCAAUACAGCUAUAACAUUUGAAAAAUGUAAUGCAUAUAUCAAUAGUUUGAGAGGGAUUAGAAGGAGACUAUGGACAGAAAAAAUGACAUGGCUUCUACAACAACAAUCAAUCUUUAUAAUAACUGACAGCAUGUAA
This 553-nucleotide long non-coding RNA is filed under the name Mytilus galloprovincialis (Mediterranean mussel). Lineage: Eukaryota; Metazoa; Mollusca; Bivalvia; Mytilida; Mytilidae. The record is from RNAcentral.